Molecule: non-coding RNA, 110 nt
Filed under: Geodermatophilus sp.
Lineage: Bacteria; Bacillati; Actinomycetota; Actinomycetes; Geodermatophilales; Geodermatophilaceae
Also listed under: 1 other name
Description: SAM-IV sequence
Rfam family: SAM (S-adenosyl methionine) riboswitch aptamer
About the family: SAM-IV is a mRNA element that regulates gene expression via direct sensing of S-adenosylmethionine (SAM or AdoMet). SAM-IV riboswitches share conserved nucleotide positions with the previously described SAM-I riboswitches sequence analysis and molecular recognition experiments suggest that SAM-I and SAM-IV riboswitches share similar ligand binding sites, but have different scaffolds.
Source: RNAcentral
GGUCGAGAGCGUCAGCGACAAGCCCUGGCUCGCUGACCGGCAACCCUCCUUCACGGCGGGGUGCCCCAGGUGAUGACCCGGCGGAGGCCACCCCUCCGCAAGCGUGGACG